ACUCCUACGGGAGGCAGCAGUAGGGAAUCUUCCACAAUGGGCGCAAGCCUGAUGGAGCAACACCGCGUGAGUGAAGAAGGGUUUCGGCUCGUAAAGCUCUGUUGUUAAAGAAGAACACGUAUGAGAGUAACUGUUCAUACGUUGACGGUAUUUAACCAGAAAGUCACGGCUAACUACGUGCCAGCAGCCGCGGUAAUACGUAGGUGGCAGGCGUUAUCCGGAUUUAUUGGGCGUAAAGAGAGUGCAGGCGGUUUUCUAAGUCUGAUGUGAAAGCCUUCGGCUUAACCGGAGAAGUGCAUCGGAAACUGGAUAACUUGAGUGCAGAAGAGGUAGUGGAACUCCAUGUGUAGCGGUGGAAUGCGUAGAUAUAUGGAAGAACACCAGUGGCGAAGGCGGCUACCUGGUCUGCAACUGACGCUGAGACUCGAAAGCAUGGGUAGCGAACAGGAUUAGAUACCCCUGGUAGGAUAGCG
This 473-nucleotide ribosomal RNA is filed under the name uncultured bacterium. Its description in RNAcentral is "bacterial SSU rRNA". It matches the Rfam family "Bacterial small subunit ribosomal RNA", at positions 335 to 801 of the family's 1533-position model. The record is from RNAcentral.